This 882-nucleotide ribosomal RNA is filed under the name Globorotalia truncatulinoides. Its description in RNAcentral is "bacterial SSU rRNA". The stretch from base 18 to 654 matches the Rfam family "Eukaryotic small subunit ribosomal RNA", at positions 1174 to 1613 of the family's 1831-position model. Lineage: Eukaryota; Foraminifera; Rotaliida; Globorotaliidae. The record is from RNAcentral.
AAGGGCACCACAAGAACGCGUGGAGCAUGUGGCUUAAUUUGACUCAACGCGGGGAAUCUUACCGGGUCCGGACACACUGAGGAUUGACAGACGGUUAUUGACUUAUACUCGCUUAAUGGCUUUAAGCUGUUAAGUGUUUAACACCUUUACACAAAGAUGCUAGUCCUUUCAUGAUCGUUUGAUAGGUGGUGCAUGGCCGUUCUUAGUUCGUGGAGUGAUCUGUCUGCCUAAUUGCGUUUCACUAAGGUCCCAUUCUUCAUACGUAUGAAUAGCGUCUUAACUCACUUUUACCGCUACCUAUUUGUAGUAAGCGCUCAUACUAUUGGGACCGGAAUGCAACGAGCGCGACUGCACCACCUAAUUGCCCCUUAUCUACCAUUAAUUACUUUAUUAACCGCCCUGUACGGGCACCGGGGCCUUACCUUUACUGAAACUAGCUGGACCGCUGCUUUCCUUUAAGCCAGAGGAAGGUUGCGGCAAUAACAGGUCUGUGAUGCCCUCAGAUGUUCCGGGCCGCACACGUGCUACAAUGAUCAGCACAAAGAGUAUUACCUAUCUUCUUAUACCUAACCCAAUAUGUUAAACUUAUUGCGUAAGGGUAUUGUCUUAACGACUUAUCCGCUUUAGCGCUUUAAGAUUAUUGGGCGGUUAUGCCUGCCUCGAGAGAGUGUACAGGGCAGCAAGAGUAAUGAUUCCCUCGUUUUUACUACUAAUACCGCGCUUGGUAACAUAUUACACUCGAUUAAGUAGGGUCUUUGCUUCUAAUAGCAAUUGCUAUCCUCACCCUUAGGCUCUAAGGAUAUUACUAUCUCUCUAAGGUCUACAGGGAGGUGUAUAUGGCGCACUUACUUAUUCACGGUGGGGACAGACCAUUGUUAACUG